This 429-nucleotide ribosomal RNA is filed under the name Chloroflexota bacterium. Its description in RNAcentral is "Chloroflexi bacterium partial 16S ribosomal RNA". It matches the Rfam family "Bacterial small subunit ribosomal RNA", at positions 355 to 776 of the family's 1533-position model. The record is from RNAcentral. Lineage: Bacteria; Bacillati; Chloroflexota.
UGGGGAAUAUUGCACAAUGGGCGCAAGCCUGAUGCAGCCAUGCCGCGUGUAUGAAGAAGGUCUUCGGGUCGUAAAGUACUUUCAGCGGGGAGGAAGGGAGUAAAGUUAAUACCUUUGCCCAUUGACGUUACCCGCCGAAGAAGCACCGGCUAACUCCGUGCCAGCAGCCGCGGUAAUACGGAGGGUGCAAGCGUUAAUCGGAAUUACUGGGCGUAAAGCGCACGCAGGCGGUCUGUCAAGUCGGAUGUGAAAUCCCCGGGCUCAACCUGGGAACUGCAUUCGAAACUGGCAGGCUAGAGUCUUGUAGAGGGGGGUAGAAUUCCAGGUGUAGCGGUGAAAUGCGUAGAGAUCUGGAGGAAUACCGGUGGCGAAGGCGGCCCCCUGGGCGAUGACUGACGCUCAGGUGCGAAAGCGUGGGGAGCAAACAGG